AGAGAGAGAAAAAAUAUGCCAUAAAAGUGACCGGGUUUCGAUGCCAGUGACCGCCGAUAGAAUGAAUGUGUCGCUGCCUGCGCAGGGGCGAGGCCACAGGCCAGGCGCCAAGAGGAAAGCUGCAGGAGGAAGUGUUUGUUCCCAUGGUUCCGCGGUGCGUUCAGAGCACUGUGUACAAACAAAAUGCAAAAGCCAUCACCUCUGGAAACUUACCCCAAGUGUGUGGACAUGUGAGAGUGGCUUGCCACAGUCCCGCUCACUACACAAAUCAGGAAAAGCACACAACCCAGAGUUUGGAUUGUGCUGUGAAGCCAGACAAAUCCAUCACGUGUUGGCUGUGUGACCUUAGACAUCUCACUAAACCUCUCUGAAUCUUAACGUCCUCGUCUGUCUCCUGAUAAUCACAUUUGGUGCUGAAGCCUGAAGGCAAUGCUCCCUAUCAGUGAUAUAAAAUAGUAAUACCAAUGGUCUUUAUGGGAACCCUUCUCUCCUCUCCUAUUUGAUACAAAUCUAUGAUCAUCACUGGCAAAGAUCAGGAUGGUGAGCCACAUCAGUCACUCUGCCCAAGAACAGCCAAGUAAUAAUACCAUUAAACUGGGGCAGUUGGGCCCAAAAGAGCUGCUCAUUUCUCUGCAGUGGAUCCCAUUCUUUGCUAUAUCCUAACAACAGAUUCAUUUAGAAAUGAACCCAAAUGCUCCUCUCCAGUGAAAGCAAUUCCGCGGUGACAUGAAUUUUGUUUACAAAUUAACGUAAAGCACCCGGCUGGUGAUUGUUUGGAGCAGUUAUGAUUUACAACAGGUGCCCUGAUCAAUCAACCAAUCACUCUAAUUCAUGUGAGCGGCGGUCUUGCCUUGCCCCAGUUGUUUCAUUUCGGCAAGUAAUUGAUAACAAACCGCACUCAAGCGUCAUCUGCACCUUAGGAAGAGGCGGGGCUCGGUAGAACCAGAGGCUGGGAGCCAGGAACAGUGAACGGUCAGCUUCCCAGUUCCCUGGCAGUCUCCCUCCCUUGGACUUCUACAUGGCUGAUGCCCGUUUUCUUUCUGCAGGCCCCUGGGCAGGAGACUCUCCCUGCUGGCUUGCCCUAAACCUUAGCUUCUUCCAUGGGGGUCUGAAGCCCCUCAAGCACCUCUCCAGUGAUCACCAGGCCAGGGGACUUAUUGAAACAUGCAAUGUUUCUGGCAUGAAAAAGGAUGCUUCCAUUCUUCCUUUUUAAUAAAGACUCUGUCUCACUCUAUAA
Molecule: non-coding RNA, 1237 nt
Organism: Odocoileus virginianus texanus
Lineage: Eukaryota; Metazoa; Chordata; Mammalia; Artiodactyla; Cervidae
Source: RefSeq, a predicted model, not a curated record